RNA transcript from Nicotiana attenuata, 2391 nucleotides. It is a transcript of the gene named LEAF RUST 10 DISEASE-RESISTANCE LOCUS RECEPTOR-LIKE PROTEIN KINASE-like 1.1, with no coding region annotated. NCBI's taxonomy places the organism in Eukaryota, Viridiplantae, Streptophyta, Magnoliopsida, Solanales, Solanaceae. The transcript is spliced from 6 exons. The record is from RefSeq and is a predicted model, not a curated record.
AUAUUUUGUCUAUAGUUUUUCUAUAUUUGUAUGUAAUUUGUUGAAGUUUAGAGUUAGACCAAUGGCUGCAGCCUGUUUUUAUGCUAUGUUUUUGGUGUUUCAUUUGGUUUUCUUUAACUUAGUUAAAAGUGAGAGUAAAUCUUGUCCAAAAGAGUUCAAUUGUGGAAAACUUGGAAAUAUGAGUUAUCCAUUUUCAGAAAUCAAGAAACCUCAUUGUGGAUUAUGCAAGAUUGAUUGUAAUAACACUCUUCAAAAUCCAAUAGUAGAGAUUGAGGGAGAGUUAUACAAUGCUUAUAAGAAGUGGUUUUUAGUUAACAGUAUCGAUCUUUCGGACCCUAUUCUUGAUGUUUAUUUAGCAAAUAGAAGUUGUAAAUCCUUUGAAAGGAAUCUAUCUUUUCCAAAUUCUCCUUCUGUUUCAUUUGGAGUGUUCAACAAUAUCACUUUGUUCAAAUGUAUGAAUAGAAGUAUGGAGGUUGAUGGUUAUUUUCGGAGUUUUCAGAACUACUCGAAAUGUGAUGGCUUUAGCUUAUACUAUCAUAAACCAAGAACAAAUCGAAGACGUAGUAUUCCAACUAGUGUUCUUCCUGCAAAUUGUGCAGUUAUUCGAUUGCCUUUGACGUUUCUUUCGCCUUCAGAACCAAUUCCUAGUGAUUUGUUUGAUCUAUUAAGUUCAAAGUUCAAGUUAGAUUGGGAAGUGUCAAGAGAUUGUUCUGAUUGUAUCUAUAGAGAAGGGCAAUGCCAAAGUAACAGCAAAAACCUCUUCUUUUGCUCCAAAGCAGCAAAAAGAAAUUUGGGACUGGUUUUAGGCACAGUGCUUUGUGGUUUCUUGAUCAUAGCAAUCAGCAUUGUGAUACUUAUAAUCUGCUGUUGCAAAAAGGGUAAUAGAAGUUUUGCGAAUAUUCUUCCGAGAAGUACCCCUUCUGAGCCCUCAACACUAAGCUACGAAUUAGACAGCGGGUUCUUUGGCGUUCCCGUCUUCACUUAUGCUGAACUUCAACAAGCUACCAUGAAUUUUGAUUCCUCUAGAGAACUUGGAGAUGGAGGAUAUGGAACAGUUUACUAUGGGAAACUUCAGGAUGGAAGAGAAGUUGCAGUGAAACGCCUGUACGACCACAAUGCUAGGAGAAAGGAGCAGUUUAUAACUGAGAUUGAAAUUCUAACAAGGCUAAGGCACAAAAAUCUUGUUUCUCUUUAUGGUUGCACGUCUAGACUCAGCGAUCAACUUCUACUAGUUUACGAGUAUGUCCCUAAUGGAACGAUCGCUGAUCACUUGCAUGGUCAUAAGACGAAGGAUUGCUCGCUCACAUGGCCUAUUCGCAUGAAAAUUGCUAUUGAAGCUGCUAGUGCUCUGGCUUAUCUGCAUGCUUCUGGUAUAAUCCACCGCGAUGUGAAGAGUAACAACAUACUACUUGAUCAGAACUUCAGUGUCAAAGUCGGAGAUUUUGGGCUUUCAAGACCUCAUCCGACUGACAUUUCUCACAUAUCAACUGCACCUCAGGGUACCCCUGGCUACGUCGAUCCAAAGUACCACGAAUGUUACCAGCUGACUGAUAAAAGUGAUGUUUAUAGCUUCGGGGUAGUCCUCGUUGAGCUGAUAUCAUCAAUGCCUGCAGUGGAUUUCAGUAGACGUAACGAAGAGAUUAACUUGUCUAACUAUGCAAUAAACAGGAUUUUAAGGUGUGCAUUCGACGACUUGAUUGACCAAUCUCUUGGUUUUCAUUCAGAUGCAGAAGUUAAGAGAAUGACUACCUUAGUGGCGGAGCUAUCUUUUCGAUGCUUGCAACUCAACAAGGACAUGAGACCUAGUAUGGUUGAAGUACAAGAAACAUUGCAAGAGAUUCAACAAGGUAAUUGUUUCAUGCUCAUUGAAGGGGAGCCUUAGCGUAACGAGUAAAGUUGCUGCCAUGUGACCAGGAGGUCACGAGUUUAAGCCGUGGAAAUAGCCUUUUGCAGAAACGCAAGGUUGUUGAUGGCUCGACCGGGGAAUCUAGUCAUCAGCCAUAUCUACACGGAGCAGAACCGGGUGGCAGACCUCCUAGCUAAAGAGGGAGCAAAGAAGAAGCUUUUUGACAAACCAAGAAUUUUGGUAGUUCCUCCGAUGUUUGCUAAUGAUACAGUAUGGGCAGACAUCUUAGGAACUACAUUUGAUAGAAAAACUGCGGAAUGUAACAUUGCUAAUAUUUUUGGAUACAAUGUUGGCCACCUAGACAACUCUAUAAACAUGAUUAUGAUGUAAUUAUUAGUUACUUAUAAUGAUAAUCUAGUUCACCUAAAAAAUAUGAGAAAAGAAGAAAGCAAAAUAAAAAGAAUUAUUUCACAUCACACUUCUAUACACCAACCCAUUGGUGGAUCCACUCAUGUAAUUGACACUCCUUCGCAGAAAAUUAUGUA